GCCGGGAUGGCGGAAUGGUAGACGCGACGGACUCAAAAUCCGUUGAGCUCACGCUCGUGGGGGUUCGACUCCCCCUCCCGGUACCA
RNAcentral lists this transfer RNA (86 nucleotides) under Actinomycetes bacterium. RNAcentral's name for it is "Actinobacteria bacterium (groundwater metagenome) tRNA-Leu". It matches the Rfam family "tRNA". Rfam says of the family: Transfer RNA (tRNA) molecules are approximately 80 nucleotides in length. The record is from RNAcentral. RNAcentral also lists the same sequence under 1 other name. Lineage: Bacteria; Bacillati; Actinomycetota; Actinomycetes.